CUCAUCUAGCUGACAUAGACAAGAAAAGUCAGACUUGACCUUUUCUUCAAUGCUUCCCCAAAUUCCAAAUUAUUUUCUGCCUGAGGGAAGGAAAAGCAUUGCCUCCUGCCAGAGACAGCCAAGAUGCUGCAGAAGCAACAGCUGGCCAGAAGUGAUUUUCUGUGAUUUUCCCUUCCUGUGGAGCAUGCCAGUCAUAGAAAUGGAGCAUUAUGUUUCUAGCGAAUAGGGCUGGUCUGUGAAACCAGCUGAAUAUUGCAAAAACGAAGUGUGACUUCUGAGGUCAAAAAAAGGUGUGGCUUCUUUCUUUUGAAUCAGACACUCUGGGGAAAGCCAACUGCCAUACUACAAGGACAUUCAAGCAACCCUCUAUAGAAGGCCAAGCCGGGAGGAAUUGGGACUUCUCAUCUGCGGUCAGCACCAACUUGCCCAUCAUGUGAGUGAGCCGCAUUGGAAGCAGAUCCUCCAGGCUCAGUCAGGCCUACCAACAGCUGCAGCCCUGGCUGACAUCUUGAUCAAGACCUUCUGAAACACCCUGCAUCAGAACUACCCAGCUAAGCCACUCUAGGAUUCCAGACUCACAAAAGCCAUGAGAUAAUAAAUGAACAUUGUUGUAUGAAG
RNAcentral lists this long non-coding RNA (618 nucleotides) under Homo sapiens (human). RNAcentral's name for it is "HSALNT0055803". The record is from RNAcentral. Lineage: Eukaryota; Metazoa; Chordata; Mammalia; Primates; Hominidae.